Molecule: small RNA, 56 nt
Rfam family: salivarius-1 RNA
About the family: Lactobacillus salivarius (Firmicutes). Lineage (Lactobacillaceae) is an non-coding RNA (ncRNA) detected by Zasha Weinberg by a bioinformatic analysis on metagenomic dataset.
Source: Rfam
GCCUUGCAUCCACAUGAUUUGAGAUGGUCACACGUUUUGAGGGCGUGGCAAGGCUU